AGUCUCGUGGCCUAAUGGAUAAGGCGGUGGUCUACGGAACUAAAGAGUGUAGGUUCGAGUCCCAUCGAGAUCG
This 73-nucleotide transfer RNA is filed under the name Perkinsus marinus ATCC 50983. It matches the Rfam family "tRNA". From Rfam's summary of the family: Transfer RNA (tRNA) molecules are approximately 80 nucleotides in length. Their secondary structure includes four short double-helical elements and three loops (D, anti-codon, and T loops). Further hydrogen bonds mediate the characteristic L-shaped molecular structure. tRNAs have two regions of fundamental functional importance: the anti-codon, which is responsible for specific mRNA codon recognition, and the 3' end, to which the tRNAs corresponding amino acid is attached (by aminoacyl-tRNA synthetases). tRNAs cope with the degeneracy of the genetic code in two manners: having more than one tRNA (with a specific anti-codon) for a particular amino acid; and 'wobble' base-pairing, i.e. permitting non-standard base-pairing at the 3rd anti-codon position. Lineage: Eukaryota; Perkinsozoa; Perkinsida; Perkinsidae. The record is from Rfam by way of RNAcentral.